RNAcentral lists this ribosomal RNA (481 nucleotides) under Haemophilus influenzae. RNAcentral's name for it is "bacterial SSU rRNA". It matches the Rfam family "Bacterial small subunit ribosomal RNA", at positions 30 to 499 of the family's 1533-position model. The record is from RNAcentral. Lineage: Bacteria; Pseudomonadati; Pseudomonadota; Gammaproteobacteria; Pasteurellales; Pasteurellaceae.
AUUGAACGCUGGCGGCAGGCUUAACACAUGCAAGUCGAACGGUAGCAGGAGAAAGCUUGCUUUCUUGCUGACGAGUGGCGGACGGGCGAGUAAUGCUUGGGAAUCUGGCUUAUGGAGGGGGAUAACGACGGGAAACUGUCGCUAAUACCGCGUAUUAUCGGAAGAUGAAAGUGCGGGACUGAGAGGCCGCAUGCCAUAGGAUGAGCCCAAGUGGGAUUAGGUAGUUGGUGGGGUAAAGGCCUACCAAGCCUGCGAUCUCUAGCUGGUCUGAGAGGAUGACCAGCCACACUGGAACUGAGACACGGUCCAGACUCCUACGGGAGGCAGCAGUGGGGAAUAUUGCGCAAUGGGGGGAACCCUGACGCAGCCAUGCCGCGUGAAUGAAGAAGGCCUUAGGGUUGUAAAGUUCUUUCGGUAUUGAGGAAGGUUGAUGUGUUAAUAGCACAUCAAAUUGACGUUAAAUACAGAAGAGCACCGGUAU